This is a long non-coding RNA of Peromyscus maniculatus bairdii (prairie deer mouse), 254 nucleotides long. RefSeq lists it as uncharacterized. The record is from RefSeq and is a predicted model, not a curated record. Lineage: Eukaryota; Metazoa; Chordata; Mammalia; Rodentia; Cricetidae.
GGGCAAAUUCUCCUGGCCUGAUCGGCGCGCAGGCGCAGUCAGGACGACAACUGCGUGUUAAGGACUUUAACCCUAACAGUGCUGCGGAAUAAAGAAGCUUGUCCUUUUUUGGUUGAGAAAAAGAGACAGCAAAAUUCCCAGGACUAACUGCCAACAGGUCUAGCAGAACCAGUGAGCUCCAGGCCAAUGAAAAGGCUCUGUCUCAACAAACAAGGUGCCUGCAGAGGUUAGAAGAUGGCAUUGAAUCCCCUGGA